AGUGAACGCUGGCGGCGUGCCUAAUACAUGCAAGUCGAACGAUGAAGUCCUAGCUUGCUAGGCUGGAUUAGUGGCGCACGGGUGAGUAAUAUAUAGUUAAUCUGCCCUACACAGAGGAACAACAGUUGGAAACGACUGCUAAUACCUCAUACUCCUAUUUGACAUAAGUUAAAUAGGGAAAGUCUUUUCGGUGUAGGAUGAGACUAUAUCGUAUCAGCUAGUUGGUAAGGUAAUGGCUUACCAAGGCUAUGACGCGUAACUGGUCUGAGAGGAUGAUCAGUCACAUUGGAACGGAGACACGGUCCAAACUCCUACGGGGAGGAGCAGUAAGGAAUAUUGCGCAAUGGGGGAAACCCUGACGCAGCAACGCCGCGUGGAGGAUGACAGUUUUCGGAGCGUAAACUCCUUUUAUCAGGAAAGAAUAAUGACGGUACCUGAUGAAUAAGCACCGGCUAACUCCGUG
RNAcentral lists this ribosomal RNA (463 nucleotides) under uncultured bacterium. RNAcentral describes it as "partial 16S ribosomal RNA". It matches the Rfam family "Bacterial small subunit ribosomal RNA", at positions 29 to 507 of the family's 1533-position model. The record is from RNAcentral.